ACGCUCGACACCUACGGUAGGCAGCAGUGGGGAAUAUUGCACAAUGGGGGAAACCCUGAUGCAGCGACGCCGCGUGAGCGAAGAAGUAUUUCGGUAUGUAAAGCUCUAUCAGCAGGGAAGAAACUGACGGUACCUGACUAAGAAGCACCGGCUAAAUACGUGUCAGCAGCCGCGGUAAUCUGAGCGGGCUGGCAAGGC
Molecule: ribosomal RNA, 198 nt
Filed under: uncultured bacterium
Lineage: Bacteria
Description: partial 16S ribosomal RNA
Rfam family: Bacterial small subunit ribosomal RNA
Source: RNAcentral